AUUAGAGUUUGAUCAUGGCUCAGGAUGAACGCUAGCGGUGCGCCUAACACAUGCAAGUCGAGCGCAGAUGGAGGUGACACAAAGCGGAUAAGAGAACAGAAUGCGAAGCAUUCUUUUCCUUUGUAUUCUUUGUGUCACUUCUUGAUGAGCGGCAGACGGGUGAGUAACGCGUUGGAAUCUACCCCAGAGUGAGGGAUAGCCCGGAGAAAUCCGGAUUAAUACCGCAUAGUCCCGAGAGGGUAAAAGAGCAAUCUGCUCUGGGAGGAUCCUGCGUCCUAUCAGCUAGUUGGCGGGGUAAAAGCCCACCAAGGCUAUGACGGGUAGUUGGUCUGAGAGGAUGACCAACCACAAUGGGACUGAGACACGGCCCAUACUCCUACGGGAGGCAGCAGUGAGGAAUCUUCCGCAAUGGGCGCAAGCCUGACGGAGCGACACCGCGUGGAGGACGAAGCCUUUGUUGGUGUAAACUCCUUUUUUCUCCGAAGAUAAUGACGGUAGGAGAAGAAUAAGAAGCAGCAAACUACGUGCCAGCAGCUGCGGUAAUACGUAGGCUUCAAGCGUUAUCCGGAAUUACUGGGUGUAAAGCGUCUGUAGGCGGCAGAGUAAGUUUGGCAUGAAAGACCGGGGCUUAACCCCGUGUUUGUGUCGAAAACUGCUCAGCUAGAAUCUGGGAGAGGGAAGCAGAAUGAUGUGAGUAGGGGUGCAAUCCGUUGAUACACAUCAGAAUACCAAAAGCGAAGGCAGCUUCCUGGAACAGUAUUGACGCUCAGAGACGAAAGCGUGGGGAGCGAAAAGGAUUAGAUACCCUUGUAGUCCACGCCCUAAACGAUGAUGACUAGGUGUCGGCGUAAGCCGGUGCUAUAAGCUAACGCGUUAAGUCAUCCACCUGAGGAGUACGGCCGCAAGGUUAAAACUCAAAUGAAUAGACGGGGACCCACACAAGCAGUGGAUCAUGUGGUUUAAUUCGACAAUAAACGAGGGACCUUACCCAGGCUUGACAUCCCGAGAAGUCCGAUGAAAGUUGGAUGUGCCCGCAAGGGAACUCGGUGACAGGCGCUGCAUGGUUGUCGUCAGCUCGUGCCUUGAGGUGUUCGGUUAAGUCCGUUAACGAGCGCAACCCAUGUCGUUAGUUAUUAUGUCUAACGAGACUGCCUGAGUUAAUCAGGAGGAAGGUGUGGAUGACGUCAAAUCAGCAUGGCCCUUAUGCCUGGGGCCACACACAUGAUACAAUGGUCGGUACAAAGAGUCGCAAUACAGUAAUGUGGAGCCAAUCUAUAAAGCCGAUCUCAGUCCGGAUUGAGGGCUGCAACUCGCCCUCAUGAAGUUGGAAUUGCUAGUAAUCGUGAAUCAGACAUGUCACGGUGAAUCUGUUCCUGGGUCUUGUACUCACCGCCCGUCAAACCAUGGGAGGUGCUUUUACUGGAAGCCCCCGAAGUAAUAUUGGGGUCCAUGGUAGAAGUGCUGACUGGGGUUAAGUCGUAACAAGGUAACCGUAAAU
Molecule: ribosomal RNA, 1498 nt
Filed under: uncultured bacterium
Lineage: Bacteria
Description: bacterial SSU rRNA
Rfam family: Bacterial small subunit ribosomal RNA
Source: RNAcentral